RNAcentral lists this ribosomal RNA (466 nucleotides) under uncultured bacterium. RNAcentral describes it as "partial 16S ribosomal RNA". It matches the Rfam family "Bacterial small subunit ribosomal RNA", at positions 28 to 506 of the family's 1533-position model. The record is from RNAcentral.
GACGAACGCUGGCGGCGUGCUUAACACAUGCAAGUCGAACGGAAAGGCCCUGCUUUUGUGGGGUGCUCGAGUGGCGAACGGGUGAGUAACACGUGAGUAACCUGCCCUUGACUUUGGGAUAACUUCAGGAAACUGGGGCUAAUACCGGAUAGGAGCUCCUGCUGCAUGGUGGGGGUUGGAAAGUUUCGGCGGUUGGGGAUGGACUCGCGGCUUAUCAGCUUGUUGGUGGGGUAGUGGCUUACCAAGGCUUUGACGGGUAGCCGGCCUGAGGGGGUGACCGGCCACAGUGGGACUGAGAUACGGCCCAGACUCCUACGGGAGGCAGCAGGGGGAAAUAUUACACAAGGCGCGGAAGCCUGGUGCAGCAACGCCGCGUGCGGGAUGGCGGCCUUCGGGGUGUAACCGCUUUCGCCUGGGACGAAGCGUGAGUGACGGAAAUGGGUAAAGAAGCACCGGCUAACUACGG